RNAcentral lists this transfer RNA (69 nucleotides) under Marmota marmota marmota (Alpine marmot). It matches the Rfam family "tRNA". From Rfam's summary of the family: Transfer RNA (tRNA) molecules are approximately 80 nucleotides in length. Their secondary structure includes four short double-helical elements and three loops (D, anti-codon, and T loops). Further hydrogen bonds mediate the characteristic L-shaped molecular structure. tRNAs have two regions of fundamental functional importance: the anti-codon, which is responsible for specific mRNA codon recognition, and the 3' end, to which the tRNAs corresponding amino acid is attached (by aminoacyl-tRNA synthetases). tRNAs cope with the degeneracy of the genetic code in two manners: having more than one tRNA (with a specific anti-codon) for a particular amino acid; and 'wobble' base-pairing, i.e. permitting non-standard base-pairing at the 3rd anti-codon position. RNAcentral also lists the same sequence under 4 other names. The record is from Rfam by way of RNAcentral. Lineage: Eukaryota; Metazoa; Chordata; Mammalia; Rodentia; Sciuridae.
GGGGUUGUGGCUCAGUGGUAGAGCACCUGCCUUGCACGCAUGAGGCACUGGGUUCGAUCCUCAGCACCA